Long non-coding RNA from Brassica oleracea var. oleracea, 1480 nucleotides. RefSeq lists it as uncharacterized. The record is from RefSeq and is a predicted model, not a curated record. NCBI's taxonomy places the organism in Eukaryota, Viridiplantae, Streptophyta, Magnoliopsida, Brassicales, Brassicaceae. The transcript is spliced from 6 exons.
UAAAUGUUUAAUUCAUCAAAUUAAUAGAAAGGGAAAAAGUAGGUCUGACAAAAGAAUUCGUUGGACAAAAUAGUCACACACAACACAUAUGGCCUUUUCGCCGGCUGUGUUACACACGCGCCACCUUUGAAAAGCCGGUUUACAGACCAGGUGUGCUCUUCUACCCAGUCACUAUAAAACACGUGUUUGAAACUCUGUAGAACUCUUAGCAACGAGCCAAGGAUUGGACAAUUCAAAACAAAACAAAAGAAAGAAGAUCUCUCUCUCUCUCUCUCCCCCCUUUAUAUACGGACUAUGUCGCCAUUGGCAGAAAGCAAUACUCAUCAAACAGCUAGAUCUCUGUGUUCACUAGGGUUUGGAGAGAUCUGUGAGAACGGGGAGUGAGGAUGAGAGAAUUUGAGUCUUUUUGCACAGAAAAUCUAUGUGGGUUUUGUUUAAUUAUAAGUUGCUAGAAGACAGAGAAGAAAUGCAACAGAGAAAACUGACAGAAGAGAGUGAGCACUUGCAAGGCACUGUUAUGUGUCAAUAACUUUGCGUGUGCGUGCUCACCUCUCUUUCUGUCAGUUGCCUGACUUCUCGCUUUCUCUCUCUCUUCUCUCAACUUUGUUGGCCUUUUUAUCAUCUACAUAUCACUUACCUUCUUAAUUAUCAUCUCUUUUGUUGUGCACUGGAAUGGUGAUGUGGAUAAGACUGACGCCCUUUCAUUAUCAUUUCGUUAUGGUUUGGUGGAGUAAAGCUCAGAUUUAUAUAUCAGAUUUUGUGAAGUGUGCUAUGUUGUUUUCUUCUACCGGAUCUAGGAAAAGCGGGAGUUUUGAUGAUCAUGAACCCCCACCGGAGAAUGAGAUCAAUAUCAAGUGGGAAGAUACUUCAAGUAUAAAAAUUUCAACGUUGAAAGUGUAGCAAUCAGAGACGCGUUUCUCAGUCAUGGUGGAUUCAAUGGGGUUUCUUGACUUGAAACUAAAGAUUGGCAAGAGCACUUGUUGGUUACUCUAUUCUGAGGCAUUAGUCGAUUUCUCUCUGCUUUUUGUAGUCAAGAACUUGGUUCAUGUGGAUGGUGUCGGUUUGAAGGUCUUAGCGUAAAGAUGAUCCGACAAAAUCUGUCAUGAGAGUGCUUCAGUGAUCCAAUCCUCAGAGACUCAGAAACAGCAGAAGAGGGGAAUCAUAACAUAAGAAGCAAGGUGGUGUUUGGAAAAGGUGUUCUCGAUAUAAUCAAGUACACUAUAUAACAAACAUUCUAGAUGGGUAUAAUAUUUUGUCCUUGGUUUAAAUUUAGGGUUCAUGAAAGUGAUUAAUUAGUAGACAUGAUUUUGUUUUGAACUAAUGCUCUAAAAGUAGUUAGUCAUCCACUAGCUGGACACAAAAUAGUUGGUGUGUUCUCAUCAUGUAGGAUUUUUUUUUUGCCUUACAUUUUCCGAGUUUAGUUCCUCUUAUAGAAUAUGGAUUUGUGGAUUGCUGUUACAGAUAAAUCUUCAAAACGAGA